Molecule: ribosomal RNA, 274 nt
Filed under: uncultured bacterium
Lineage: Bacteria
Description: partial 16S ribosomal RNA
Rfam family: Bacterial small subunit ribosomal RNA
Source: RNAcentral
AUACGGAGGGGGUUAGCGUUGUUCGGAAUUACUGGGCGUAAAGCGCACGUAGGCGGAUUGGAAAGUUGGGGGUGAAAUCCCAGGGCUCAACCCUGGAACUGCCUCCAAAACUUCCAAUCUAGAGAUCGAGAGAGGUGAGUGGAAUUCCAAGUGUAGAGGUGAAAUUCGUAGAUAUUUGGAGGAACACCAGUGGCGAAGGCGGCUCACUGGCUCGAUACUGACGCUGAGGUGCGAAAGCGUGGGGAGCAAACAGGAUUAGAAACCCGAGUAGUCC